RNAcentral lists this RNase P RNA (310 nucleotides) under Tenacibaculum holothuriorum. RNAcentral's name for it is "Bacterial RNase P class A". It matches the Rfam family "Bacterial RNase P class A". Rfam says of the family: Ribonuclease P (RNase P) is a ubiquitous endoribonuclease, found in archaea, bacteria and eukarya as well as chloroplasts and mitochondria. Its best characterised activity is the generation of mature 5'-ends of tRNAs by cleaving the 5'-leader elements of precursor-tRNAs. The record is from Rfam by way of RNAcentral. Lineage: Bacteria; Pseudomonadati; Bacteroidota; Flavobacteriia; Flavobacteriales; Flavobacteriaceae.
UAAGCAGACCUUUCUUAUCGACUUAAACUAGAUUUAAGUAGGAAAGUCCGGACACCAUAGAGUAGUAUAGCGGAUAACAUCCGUCCGGUGAAAACCGAGGACAAGUGCAACAGAAAGUAUGUACAGGUAAUGCUGUAGUGAAAUCAGGUAAACUCUAUACGGUGCAAUGCCACGUAUAUUAGAGCUUGAGUGUGCUCGCACGAUUCUAAGGGGUAGGCAGAUUGAAAUUGAAAGUAAUUUCAAUUCUAGAUAAAUGAUAAGACUUCAAUUUAUUGAAGAACAGAAUCCGGCUUACUGGUCUGCUUUUUUC